Molecule: long non-coding RNA, 1355 nt
Organism: Macrobrachium nipponense
Lineage: Eukaryota; Metazoa; Arthropoda; Malacostraca; Decapoda; Palaemonidae
Exons: 3
Source: RefSeq, a predicted model, not a curated record
GUAUUUAAAUUUCAGGCUGGAGAAGAACCUCGAACCGUUCUGCAGGACAAUCAUGAAGUGGUUCUCUUCAAGUUAUAAGAUCGCCGUUUUGGGCUGCUGCUGGGGAAAUCGGGCAAGUAAAAUGGAGUCUUCAAGGCAAAACUGAAUGAAGACGUGUGGAUACUGAUCAUUUACUCAAGUUUGCUACAAAUUUUGACAGACCCUGGAACACAACAAUGUUUCGAUUUCUGAAUCGAGGAUGCAAGUGAUGUAUUGAAGACCAAUCAAGGAUGAUUUCAGUAACUCUGUUGGUCCAACGCUUACUGUUGUACACUGCCUCUGGAUUUCUGCGUAUUCAACCAGGAAGAAAUGUCAACUUUAGUACAUAACCCACAGCAUACCAUUGGUAGCAUGUUUAUAUAGACUUAUAAAAAGUCAGUCCUUGACACUGACUGUAGUUACUAUAGGAUUUGGAAAUUUUCAUUUGAACAGAGCUUAUUUACAAUUGACUGACUUGAGUAACUUAAACAAUCGGUCCUUAAUGCUGCCAGCGUUCACAAGAGGAUUUGGUAACUUUCGGUUAUAGUGUGCUAGGAAUGCUUUUCAUAUGAGGAGAGAAUUACAACCUAGUUAUUCUACAACAUCCUGAAACAAAAUUGGUCGACAGCAGUUUGCAGAUUUUACAAGUACAAGUCAAUUUAUCGUAGACUACAUAAGAAACAAAUUUCCCAGUUUGUCGCCAUGCUGUGAAUAUGAACUUAACAGUCCAACUCAUUUGAAUUUAAAAAGUUGUAACUUCCUUCAAUGUGUGCAUUCAUGAAUUAACAGUCUUAAUACUUUGAACAAAAGUUUCAGUAAUGAAGGUUUUAUAUUCGUUCUUCGUGGUUGAAUAGCAAGUACUUUGGUCCCACAUUUAAACAAGACCCCUUUUCUGGCAAUAGACUUUUUCAGAAUAAGAUUUCUCUUAGUUUACAUAUUCAGGAAUUAGAGUUAGAUAUCAGAGGAAACAAAAAUAUUUAUAAAAUUCUGUAUAUUGAAUUAAAUUUCAAUUGGAUAUUUAUUGAAAUCUCGUCAGGGAUUUCAGUUCAUUUUUUUUUACGUGGCACUGUGAUAUGAGCAUGUUAUAAUAACGCAACCUAUAUUUGUGCAAGUCUUAAUCGUAUUAACCAAUUGAACUCGCAUUAAAAAAUGUUUGGCCAGAGGUGAUUAGAAUGCAUUUUCUGUGGUGUUGAAAAUUUUGAGGGCAGUCAACGUAAUUUCCAAACGUAAAAUUUUCCAUCAUGAAUCCAAUAAUCUCUCGACUAAUGGGUUUCUGGCAUAAAUUGGAGGUCGUUACACCUUAAAUCUAGAAAAGUCUUUCUUUGUGGGUUUCAGAA